This 327-nucleotide ribosomal RNA is filed under the name uncultured bacterium. Its description in RNAcentral is "bacterial SSU rRNA". It matches the Rfam family "Bacterial small subunit ribosomal RNA", at positions 32 to 339 of the family's 1533-position model. The record is from RNAcentral.
AAUCAACGCUGGCGGCGUGCCUCAGACAUGCAAGUCGAACGCGAAAGUUCCCUUCGGGGGAUGAGUAGAGUGGCGCACGGGUGAGUAACACGUAGGUAAUCUACCUUCGGAUGGGGAAUAACAACCGGAACGGUUGCUAAUACCGCAUAAUGCAGCGGCACCUAAUGGUGACAGUUGUUAAAGCGGGGGAUCGAAAGACCUCGCGUCUGAAGAGGAGCCUGCGGCGGAUUAGCAGUUGGUAGGGUAACGGCCUACCAAGGCUACGAUCCGUAGCCGGCCUGAGAGGGCGGUCGGCCACACUGACACUGACAGUACGGGUCAGACUCC